RNAcentral lists this ribosomal RNA (468 nucleotides) under uncultured bacterium. Its description in RNAcentral is "partial 16S ribosomal RNA". It matches the Rfam family "Bacterial small subunit ribosomal RNA", at positions 28 to 507 of the family's 1533-position model. The record is from RNAcentral.
GAUGAACGCUGGCGGCGUGCUUAACACAUGCAAGUCGAACGGUGAAGCAGAGCUUGCUUUGUGGAUCCGUGGCGAAAGGGUGAGUAACACGUGAGCAUCAUGCCCCUGUCUCUGGGAUAAGCGCUGGAAACGGUGUCUAUUACUGGAUAUGGGCUGUGCCCGUGUGUUCAGGGGUUGGAAAGAUUUUUGCGGUUGGGGUAGGACUCGCGGCUUAUCAGCUUGUUGGUGGGGUAUGGGCUCACCAAGGCGUUGACGGGUAGCCGGCCUGAGAGGGUGACCGGCCACACUGGGACUGAGACACGGCCCAGACUCCUACGGGAGGCAGCAGUGGGGAAUAUUGCACAAUGGGCGGAAGCCUGAUGCAGCAACGCCGCGUGAGGGAUGACGGCCUUCGGGUUGUAAACCGCUUUUGGCAGGGAAGAAGCGAAAGUGACGGUACCUGCAGAAAAAGCGCCGGCUAACUACGUG